GAGCCGCGGUAUUAUUGUCAUUUUACCGUUUUACCAUGUUUCGGACGCAGGAGCACAACGACAGAAUUAUUUUUGAGGAGACAAAUGAAGCAUGUUUACACUUAGGUCGUCAGAUUUAGGCAUAUAGGCUACAUUAUUUUUUCUUCAUUUUCAAAUAUAUCUCAGUUAAAACAAAAAACAUGUAUUGAAUAUUUGGGAUAUUACGCUACAGUUAAUGCAAAUAGCUUAUUAUUAUUUUAACAUGCCUCUGUUAUUGUUGUAAUUGCUUGUUUUUAUCGGUAGGUAGUUAUAAUGGUGGUAUCAUGUUUCUAAUAUCUUAUUGAAGUUAACGUACGUCCCAUUGAUUAUAUGAAUAUUCAUGUCGUCCUGUCCCCAUACCGUUACCCGAGUCUAAAGUGUUAAUUUCACAGUUACAGUGCCCAGCCGCUCCGCUCCUCAACCGACUUGAAGCGUGCCCACCCGAGACUCCACGCAGCAGGGAGGCGGGAGGGAGCCUGGACACCUGGCUGGCCCGCUGCGCGCGGAGCAUCCUGAGAAGAGGACUUCGUGGUUCUAGAACACCGACCGGUUGUAAGUCUGAUGGAUACCCGGGGGGCAAGGUUGUCGGAUCAAAACCUGAAACGACAAGAUGAAAAUGAAUCAUGCAUCCUGCCCGUGAGCAAGGCAGAUAAUUUAACUGAGUAAACCCAGGGGUUGGUUUAGAUGCAGACAUCAGAGUUAGGUUGGACUUGGUGCGCUCAGGACUAAUGCACUGUAAAGAUGCUGGUUGAUGUUUGUAUACAGCGCUGUUUGGCAAAGAUUUCAUAACUGUCGCGAUGCAGAAAUUGAUUGGAAAUACCAUUAUCACAAGACUUAGUAGUACUAGCGAGACUGAAGGUUUCAUCUAAGUAGGUAAGACUGCUUGUAACUACUAAGCUCCAUAUUCAUGUCUUACAGAGUAAAUUUAAGUUAAACAUGGGUGUCUGUAAUGCAGUUUAAAUGUCCUGUACAACACUGCUUUGCUGUAAAUGAGUUUAUUAGUGUGUUUGUUUCCUAUGCAUGUGUUCCCUAGUGUUUUUAUUUGUUCUCCAUUUAUAUAGUUUCUGUAACACAGGACUCAAAUGUAAAAAAAAGACUUUGGUGUCAGCUUGAUCUCCCUGUUAAAAAAAAAAAGGUCAAAAACUGAGCACCUAACAAAAAACUG
Molecule: long non-coding RNA, 1183 nt
Organism: Esox lucius (northern pike)
Lineage: Eukaryota; Metazoa; Chordata; Actinopteri; Esociformes; Esocidae
Exons: 3
Source: RefSeq, a predicted model, not a curated record